AGCCGAAACGCCUCGGCGGAUCGCCGGCGCGUCGCGGCGGGUGGUUCCCGCCGCCUGAAGAUGGCAGCCACGC
Molecule: non-coding RNA, 73 nt
Filed under: Planctomycetaceae bacterium
Lineage: Bacteria; Pseudomonadati; Planctomycetota; Planctomycetia; Planctomycetales; Planctomycetaceae
Also listed under: 1 other name
Source: RNAcentral